RNAcentral lists this long non-coding RNA (791 nucleotides) under Helianthus annuus (common sunflower). RNAcentral describes it as "hypothetical non coding rna". The record is from RNAcentral. Lineage: Eukaryota; Viridiplantae; Streptophyta; Magnoliopsida; Asterales; Asteraceae.
GCCAUGGUAAAAAAAUCGAUGAAGGUCGCCGGAGAUGGUGGUUAAGGAUGGAGAUGGCGAUGAGAUGGUGAAGGAACGAUUCAACGGUGAACGAUGAACGAAGACAUACAACGGUGACCGGAGAUAAUGAUGAUGGUGAAACAGAUGUGUUGACGGGAGGCGAGAGUUUGAAGAGGAUGAUGUAUGACAGUCGCCGGAGAUGAAUAGGAGCUGUUGGUGUCGGUGGCGGAUUGCCGGAAGAGAGUUGCAGGUUCUAGUGAUGACCGGAGAAGGUGAUUGAAGUGAACAGGAGGUGAUGAAUGACGAUGGAUGGUGGUAACCGGAAAAGAUGGAGGUGGUCGGACGUGGUCGGAGGUGGUGUAGGAGAUGACGUACGGUGACGAUGGUGAAGAUGCAGACGAUGAAGAGGAUGACGGAGGGUUGUUGAAGGAGGUGAACGAUGUCGGAUGAAAAUGUUGAUUACGGAUGAUUACGGAUGAGGAAUGAUGAAGAUAUGAUCUCGGAUGGAUUGCAAUUGAUGUUGACUGAUUUCGGAUGGAAUGAUGUGUGAACUUGAUAUGGUGCUCGAAUGAAAAUGAGGUAUCUCGGAUGAAUUACGGAUGAAGAAUGACGAUCACGGAUGAAAGAACGAUGAUUUCGGAUGAAUGAAGUGAUGAAUACGGUUUAAUGUCGAAUGUACGAUGAAUGACAAAUGUGAUGUUGACAGAUGCCAAUGUAUGAUGUAUGAUUGUUGUGAAAAGAAAUUUUGUACUAUGAUAGAUGUUAUCAGACAAUGAUUUAAUAAUAUAUGU